UUUUAAUUCUUUCAUUACAUUGCCUUCUAC
This 30-nucleotide non-coding RNA is filed under the name Rattus norvegicus (Norway rat). Lineage: Eukaryota; Metazoa; Chordata; Mammalia; Rodentia; Muridae. The record is from RNAcentral.